CUGCUGCCUUCCGUAGGAGUCUGGUCCGUGUCUCAGUACCAGUGUGGGGGACCUUCCUCUCAGAACCCCUACGCAUCGUCGCCUCGGUGGGCCGUUACCCCGCCGACUAGCUAAUGCGCCGCAUGGCCAUCCGCAGCCGAUGAAUCUUUAACCGCCGAGGGAUGCCCCUCUGCGGUGUUACGCGGUAUUAGACGGAAUUUCUUCCGCUUAUCCCCCUGCUGCGGGCAGGUUCCAUACGUGUUACUCACCCGUGCGCCGGUCGCCGG
This 266-nucleotide ribosomal RNA is filed under the name uncultured bacterium. Its description in RNAcentral is "partial 16S ribosomal RNA". The record is from RNAcentral.